GACGAACGCUGGCGGCGUGCUUAACACAUGCAAGUCGAACGGAAAGGCCCUGCUUUUGUGGGUUGCUCGAGUGGCGAACGGGUGAGUAACACGUGAGUAACCUGCCCUUGACUUUGGGAUAACUUCAGGAAACUGGGGCUAAUACCGGAUAGGAGCUCCUGCUGCAUGGUGGGGGUUGGAAAGUUUCGGCGGUUGGGGAUGGACUCGCGGCUUAUCAGCUUGUUGGUGGGGUAGUGGCUUACCAAGGCUUUGACGGGUAGCCGGCCUGAGAGGGUGAACGGCCACAUUGGGACUGAGAUACGGCCCAGACUCCUACGGGAGGCAGCAGUGGGGAAUAUUGCACAAUGGGCGGAAGCCUGAUGCAGCAACGCCGCGUGCGGGAUGACGGCCUUCGGGUUGUAAACCGCUUUCGCCUGUGACGAAGCGUGAGUGACGGUAAUGGGUAAAGAAGCACCGGCUAACUACGUG
This 468-nucleotide ribosomal RNA is filed under the name uncultured bacterium. RNAcentral's name for it is "partial 16S ribosomal RNA". It matches the Rfam family "Bacterial small subunit ribosomal RNA", at positions 28 to 507 of the family's 1533-position model. The record is from RNAcentral.